GACAAACGCUGGCGGCGUGCUUAACACAUGCAAGUCGAACGGAAAGGCCCUGCUUUUGUGGGGUGCUCGAGUGGCGAACGGGUGAGUAACACGUGAGUAACCUGCCCUUGACUUUGGGAUAACUUCAGGAAACUGGGGCUAAUACCGGAUAGGAGCUCCUGCUGCAUGGUGGGGGUUGGAAAGUUUCGGCGGUUGGGGAUGGACUCGCGGCUUAUCAGCUUGUUGGUGGGGUAGUGGCUUACCAAGGCUUUGACGGGUAGCCGGCCUGAGAGGGUGACCGGCGACAUUGGGACUGAGAUACGGCCCAGACUCCUACGGGAGGCAGCAGUGGGGAAUAUUGCACAAUGGGCGGAAGCCUGAGGCAGAAACGCCGGGUGCGGGAUGAUGGGCUUCGGGUUGUAAACCGCUUUCGCCGGUGACGAAGAGUGAGUGACGGUAAUGGGUAAAGAAGCACCGGCUAACUACGUG
This 468-nucleotide ribosomal RNA is filed under the name uncultured bacterium. RNAcentral describes it as "partial 16S ribosomal RNA". It matches the Rfam family "Bacterial small subunit ribosomal RNA", at positions 28 to 507 of the family's 1533-position model. The record is from RNAcentral.